Long non-coding RNA from Loxodonta africana (African savanna elephant), 13749 nucleotides. RefSeq lists it as uncharacterized. The record is from RefSeq and is a predicted model, not a curated record. The transcript is spliced from 12 exons. NCBI's taxonomy places the organism in Eukaryota, Metazoa, Chordata, Mammalia, Proboscidea, Elephantidae.
UGCCGGCUCCGCGCUGCGCGGCGCUGGAGCGCGAAGCACAGGACACCCACUGUUUGCCCAACAGCGUCUGUGGGAAUUCAUUAGCGGCUCUCUCCAGCCAGCAACAAGGGCGGUUUUGUCCGGAAUUAAACUACAUCUUAAUAUUAUAAUGCGGCACAAAAAGCAAAACCCGAGGCUCCGGCUUUGGAGUCCCUAACAAGAAACACAUUGUGCACUUUUUUCCCCCCUUUUUUGGCCGAAACCACUUUUGCGCGCCGGCCCCGAUGGAGAGAGCCAAGUUCGUGACUUCAGUGGGGAGGAACCCGCCGACCCCGCACCCACGUGCACGCCUGGGCCUCCGCUGCCCUGGGGCGGCCACCAGGGUCGCGCCGCCAACCGGCGCCCCGCGCACCCGCUUCCGAUAGCCGCGGCCGGGUCGCGCUCCGCUGCUGACACAUUUCCUGCGCAAACAGCGCUGUGUGGACGGCCCUUUCCUGACCCUGGAGACCGGCGCUGCCGAUCGCCUCUGGGCACUGUUUUCGCACCUGAGGCGGCGCCAGCGUGGGGAAUUCGAAUCACCGCCCUCCCAGGCAGCAUGAAAGUACGGCUGUUUAAAAAGAACAUCGCAGCCGCUGACACUUGGCAGCGUCUCCAAAUGGGAUUUUAACGCUCUGAAUCCUGCACGGACUCUGAGUAAUGGGCCACUAGCUGAGGACUGGACUUUGAUGGGGAUCUUUAGAGCCCUGUGACCGCUGCGGGCCACAGAAUUCAGGAACUUAGCGUGCUUUUGGACUUGCUGCUUGCUUACACUGAGUCAGAAGGGGAAUUCAGCAAAAAAGACUCAAGUCUGGAACUUUGACCCCAACUUCCUCAAUGCCUGCACCAAGGAGGGCCGCCUACGUAAGCCUGGCACGGGAUCCGCCUGGGGGUGCCUCUGGCCCGGGCUCUUUGGGCGAGAGGCUGGGAUGUAGAGUGAAUACACGAAUGAGUGAACGGACCUCCGGGCUGAGCUUCUAUUUCAUUGAAGUAGCCUAUUUAAACACUGUCAACAGCAACAACCCAACCGCUACGUCUUCAGGAAAGGAUUGCAUUUAUAGCUCAACUUGGAGGAGAAUUGACAUCUUUAAAGUUUGAAUCUUCCCUUCCAGGAGCAAGGUAUUUUAAUAAGAGAAACUUUAUAAUUUUUCUUAUACAGGCAGUCCCUGGGUUACGAACGAGAUCGCUUCCUAAGCCUGUCUUUAAAUCAAAUUUGUGGGUCAGUCAGAACAGGUACAAACGGUUCUUAUUUAGCAACAGUAAGUCAAAUGUUUGUCUUAGUAUAUAGUAUAUACUUGACCUUUCUAUGCGUAUAAAGCACUUAAGAAACACUUCUAAAUACACUAAAAUAUCUUAAGCAUAAUACAGUACAUCUAAUAUUCUUUCUCUAUCCAAUGAAUUGCUGAAGCUGCACAAUGUUUUUACGAGAGUUGUUAUUAUGAACCAUUGUAUUUAACUCCAAUUUUUAAUACAAUAGGGUUUUUGGCAGUCCACUCUGAAGUACCAGUUGUCCAUGAGUCAGACGUUUGUAACCCGGGGACAAGCAUUUUCUUGUUAAGUUUAUUCCUAUGCAUUAUUUUUCGUAGCUAUUAUGAAUGGGAGCUUUUAUAAUGUUUUAUAAUUGUUACUGUUCUAUAGGAAAGCUAUUGGGUUUUUAUGCUGCUUGGUGGCACAUUGUUUAAAGUGCUGGACUGCUAACCAAAAUGUCUGCAGUUCGAAUCCACCAGCCAUUCGGAGGGAGAAAGAUGUGGCAGUCUGCUUCUGUAAACAUUUAUAGCUUUGAAAACCCUAAGGGGCAGUUCUAUUCUGUCCUAUAGGGUCCCUAUGAGUUGGAAUCGACUUGAUGGCACUGGGUUUGGUUUUGGUUUUUGGUUAUCAUUCUGCCAUCCUACAGAACUUAUCCUACAGAACUCUCAGUUCUAGCAAUAUUUUUUAGAUUAUUUCAUUUUAAACUUUUGGUUAGAAUAUCAUAUUACCUGAAAACAAUGAUUGUUUUUUCUUGCCCAUUCAGAGUUCAUGGAGUUUAUAGGGUGAAGACAUACAAUAAUAUCACUUGUUGAUGUCUCAUAAUUACAUCUGCACUUCUUAGAAGACAAUUUCAGAUGUUGUUGAGUUCUUUUUCGUCCACUUGCUUCUCCCCCUUCUCCUUACCUUUACGUCACCUUCUUUUCCUUCUCCUCUUUCUUCUUAUUCAUUUGAGGGGAGCAGUUAAUUAUGUAAAUAUGUCCUCUAUUCCCAAUUUACAGGGCAAUGAAACCCAUGCCAAGACCUGAGGUGGUUUGGUCACGGUCCCCCAGCUGUUAGAAGCAGGACUGGCCCUGAACCCAGGUCCCCUGACCCCAGCACAGCCCUGCCUGUCACAGCCAGCUGGAUCCUUAUCACCACAGCCUUCUUUUGCUACAUUUUGUUCACUAAUAAAGGUCCCUUAUAUCAAUUGACAGGUACUUUGGUUACCUGUGUGUAGAACAUUGACAAUAAGCCAUAGAGCAAAUGUGGGAUUACUUAAUGACUUUCUCUAGAAACUUCCUAACUGUUUCACAUUCCUCUGUCAUAGCAGCUAUGCAAUCCAAAGAGAAAGGGCUUUGUAGUCUGAAGUAAUUCUGCCAUUUUGUGAAUCAUGACAAGUCCCCUUGGUUAAUUUGUCUGUAAAGGGGAUACUAAUUUUGGCUUCAAAUAGCUUAUGAUUACACGAGGAGAUGAAUAUAAAGCUCCUAGGACAUCGUAGGCUCUCCAUGAGUGGUCAUUCUAUCCACUUCCUUCUCUUCCUCCUUCUACGUCUUCCCUUCCUCUUCACCUCUCCACCACCUCCUUUUCCUUCUUCUUAGUCUUUUAAGUUGAGCAGUGAACCAUAUAAAUGUGUCCUCUAUUCUCCAUUCAGCUCUACUCAUCUCCUUAGUCCCUGAGUUUGAAAACGGUGGAGGGCAAAGUUGACAAAGAUCUCUUGAAAAGGAAAUUCAGAUUAGGUCUAGGGUCACUGCAAGUGAAGAGUCACCAAUGUUCUUUGCGGGUGAAAUUUUGAGUGGAACAGAGCUUAGGUUAAGAGCAAACAUGAACAGCCUCACAUAUAAAGACCAUGCAGCUGCCUGGGGGCUCACUGGCUGUGCCAGUUUGCCUUGAAUUCCCCUGUGUUUGGCUCUGGGUGUUAUUACCCAUUUCACAGAUACUUUCUGUGUGAUUCACCUGUGAUAACUCCACAUCUCUUUGCAAAAGACUCUGAAUGUCUAAGGUUAAAAUGGUCAACAUCUUAUCCUCUGCUGCCUGCCUUCCCUGUGGCACCAGUCUCUGGGACACUUACCUUGCAGGGGGUAUUUCACUGACAAAACCCUACGUAAGGGUGCUCGACUAUCUGACCAGUGUCCAUUGCCAUGGCCCUACUGGUCGGAGAUGGCCGCCCCACUUGAGUGUGAGCUUUCAUCCAGCUUCCUCCCAAAUCCAGCAUGUUAGAGCUGAGUACUGUGCUCAGGGCCAUGAAGGGGGACUGUGAGAGGCUGAUGGACUGAAUCCGUGGGUGUCUAUCUAGUUUGCCCCUCCUGUCAUAUGCCAGCUGGGGAGAUGCCAUCACAUGGUUUGCUUACAUUGGAGGGUGAUGGCUGUGAAUCACCCAGGGCAGCUAGAGAAGAAACAUGAAGUCAUAAACCGUACACCCUCCACCUCCCAUCUUCUCCCAGCCUGGGGGCUGGGCUGGGAACUGAAAGGGGAAGAGGUCAGGGCCUAUUGCUGGGGCCUCUUUCUCCCUACACUAGUUACUGACAGAAGAGGUGAGAACCAGAACUGCCUGUUGCUGAACUUUUCUAGAAUCCUGGACAUGCUGUCAACUGAACGAGGGGCCCACACAUUGCCAACUCUGAAAGGUGGGAAAGCCAGCCAGUCCUGAGGGCUUUCUUACAGAAGUUCAAGGCCAUGGGUUACAGCCCCUUUACAGACAUGAACAAAACCCUAAUAAUAACUGCCUCUUAAGUAUGUGCCUAGAGCUUACUUAGUCCUCACAACAAUCUUAUGAGGUAGAUGCUUUUAUUAUCUCUCUAUUCCACAGCAGAGGAAACUAAGGCUGAGAGAAAUGAAAUAACUAGGUCACACAGCUAAUAAGUAAGAGAGCCAGGAUUUGAACUCAAGCAACCUGGCUUCAGAAUCCUUGACUUUACCUACCUCAUUAUUCUGCCGCUAUUCAGAGAAAAACCACAAUAAGGAUGAAGAAAACAUCAUACUGACCUUUUAGAAUGUUAUUAAAUGAAAAACAAAUUAUCAAAACAGUUUCACUAAUUUUCAAUUCUAUGAAAGAUUGUAACAUAUAUUUCUUUUAAAACCAUGAUUGAUUCAUUUGAAGCAGUAACAAAAAUGUUUAUGAGUUCUGUGAAAGCAGUUUUUUCAUUGCUUUAAGUAGGCUUGCUUCUGAAAUAUAAAUUAAUCCCUGUUUUUCACUUGGCUGGACCUCACUGGUUAUUUUCAAGGGGCUAAGUUUCUGCAUAUAGGCUUUUACUUGCAUUGUUGGGGUUUAUACUCAGUACUACUGGGGUGGCCCAUUUAUACUGACGGGGCGGCCCAUAUGUGCAGGUGGCAUUACUGACCAGAAACUCCAUCCAUUCCCCAUGUGUCCUGGCCUCUAUUCCACCCUGUGAACAUUUACUCUGGCUUUUAUGCACCUUGCACUGUACCAAUCACCAGAAGAGGGUAUUGACCACUUCUGAUCAUUUCUAAGCUAGAUAGUUCAUGUUUUACAGGUCAGUUGAAAAAUAGUCAGACUUCUUACCUUAUACAUAGCCCUCAUGAGCAUGUUCAAAUUAAUUGCUAUUUCCUGGUUAAUAAUUCUUUGCAGGGAACACUGUCAUAGAGAUCUCCUUUCUGCCUUGCCCUGACAUGUAAGAUCCUCAGAGCUUUCCAUAAGAUGUCAGUCUAUUGGAGCUGAGAGGGACUUCCCAGCUCAGGAGUCCAACCCCUUCACUUUACAGCAGUGGUUUUCAAAGAGUGAUCUGUGGAUGCCUGGGGGUCUGCAAAGUCAAAACUGUUUUUUUAAAAAUACUAAGAUUCUAUUUGAUUUUUUCACUAUGUUGACGAUGGUACAAAAGCAAUGGUUGGUAAACCGAUGACAUCUUAACAUGAAUCAAGGCAGUGAUACCAAACUGCUCUAGUAGUCAUCGUACAUGAUAGCUAACUGACUUGAAUGUAACUGAGUAUUAAACAAUUAAUUGGCAUGGUUUCAGAUUCCACAUUGCAACUAACCUUUAAGGAACUAUCACUUGUUGAGUUUUGGUUUAGUAUUGAAGAAGAAUACCCACAAUUGUCUGUAAAGACCAUUAGAAAAUUGUCUUCUCUUUUCCAACUACUUGUCUGUUUGAGGGUGAAUUCUUUUCAUAUAAUUCAAAUAAAAUAACAUAAUGUCACAGGCUGAAUGCAGAAGCAAAUAUGAGAAUCCAGUUGUCUUAUAGUAAGUCAUACGUAGCUUUGCAGAAGUAUAAACUAAAGCCAUUUUUCUCACUAUUAUUCUUCUUUUGGAAAAUACAGUUAAUUUUCUUAAAAUAUGAACUUUAUGUUAAUAGUUAAUGUGAUGGUUAAUGCUAUGUGUCAACUUGGCUACACAGUGAUUCUCAGUGGUCUAGCAAAUGCUAUGUAAUUGUCCUCUAUUUUGUGAUCUGAUGUGAGCAACCAAUCGGCUGGAAGGGGAGUUUCCUUCGGCGUGUAUUCAGUAUAUGAAUGGAUGUUCUGGCAAAGCUCUGUCUCUCUCGAUCUUGCAUUCAUCUCAUUGUUAGCUGACCUCCUAGCUCUUGAGUCAUGAGAAUCCUUCAGCCUGCUGCCUGGCCUGCAGAUUUUGGGUUUGUCAGUAUCUACACCACAUGAGUCAGGAGAAGGCUUCAAUCUGCUGCCUGACCCACAGAUCUGGGACUUGCCAGCCUCCACAAUUGUGUGAGCCAUUUCCUUGAAGUGAAUCUCUAUCUCUCUAUUUUUACAUAUACACGUCACCGGUUUUGAUCCUUUAGAGAAUCCAGCCUAAAGCAGUUAAUGUGUUUAUUUUUAUUAUUUUGAUAUAAAUUGAUAUUUAUAUUAAGGUUUCUUAGUUUUAAUUUCUAAUACAGUAAAUAUCAUUAGAUAUACCAAACUAAACUCAUUGCUGUCAAUUCCAACUCAUAGCAACCUUGUAGGACAGAGUAGAACUGCCUCAUAGGGUUUCCAAGGAGUAGUUGGCAGAUUUGAACUGCCAAUCUUUUAGUUAGCACCUGAGCUCUUAACCACUGCGCUAUCAUGGCUCCGUUAUUAGAUAUAACUCACAUAAACAAAAGCUUAUUAGAUCCUUGUUAUGGAUUGAAUUGUGUCCUCCCAAAAAACAUGUGUCAACUUGGCUAGGCCAUGAUUCCCAGUAUUGUGUGACUGUCCACCAUUUUAUCUUCUGAUGUGAUUUUCCUACGUAUUGUAAACCCUACUUCUAUGUUAAUGAGGUGGGAUUAGUGGCAGUUAUGUCAAUGAGGCAGAACUGAAUCUACAAGAUUGGGUUGUAUCUUGAGUAAAUCUCUUUUGAGAUAUAAAAGGAAGAAGCGAGCAGAGAAACUGGGGAACUUCAUACCACCAAGAAAGAAGCCCUGGAAGCAUAGAACAUCCUUUGGACCCAGGGUCCCUGCACUGAGAAGCUUCUCAAUCAGGGGAAGAUUGAUGACAAGGACCUUUCUCCAGAGCGGAUAGAGAAAGAAAGCCUUCCUGGAGCUGGUGACUGAAUUCAGACUUUUAGCCUACUAGACUGUGAAAGAAUAAAUUUCUCUUUGUUAAAACCAUCCACUUGUGGUAUUUCUAUUACAGCAGCGCUAAGAUGACUAAGACAAUGCUCAAUAAUUUUUUUGAAUGUAAAGUAGUCCUGAGUCCAAAAAGUCUGAGAUAAGCUGCUUUUCAGAAUCUUACUUUAAAAUAGUUAAGAAACUUCUUUAAAGGCACCUAGCUGGAUGAAGAUCCUGCCAGGAGUAAAGGCAUGUCUCAACAUACUCUUACCUGUCAGCUUUUACCCGAUCCCACUUCUGCCUUUUAUGCAAAUGGCCUAGAUGUGUGUGUCAGGUGUGACUCUGAGACCACUGGGCAUGUCUCCUCUUUGGCAUGUUAUUUAAAGACAAAAUUUAAUGUGGGCAUCAGUAUUAUUUCUGAACAUGUGUGAAAAGAGAACAUCAAAAUAUAUAUUUCAACAGUAAAGACGCAGUGAGUAAUAUAGGUGUCCGCUAAUGGGGACCCAAAGCAGGAAGCAUUGUCAGGAAGAACUGGAGUUCAUGUUGACAUAAGAAGGUUUUGUGGGAUGGAGAUGCUCCUGUUGUCCACCACAGGCCUGCUUAACAUCUGCGUCUAUUAUCUGGCAGAUACAAAGAUACUUCUUUGUAUCAAAUUGGAAGUGUUGGCAAAUGGAGACUCAGCCACACAUCUUCAAUGUGCUCUUCAGCUAAUUGCCUGAAGGUUUUGUUGUCACUAUUGCUGUCUCUCCAUGCUUUUAACUGAAUUUAUAUUCUUAGAUUUUAAGUGGAAAGAUAUCUUUGUAUUUCUGAGUGCUAAAGAAAUAGAGUAAAGCAUCUUUGGGUUUUUUUUUUCCCCCUACAGGAAAGUCCUAUUAAUGAACAAUUUUCAUUUUCUUCAUCAUGCCUAACAAGGUUUACCUUUUGUCCCAAGCCCUGCUCUGAAUACAGAGAUGAACCAGGCACAACCCUGCCAUUAAAGUACUCACAGAGUCUAUUUGGGAAAUAGACCAAUAACUGCACAAGGGAUCAGGUGGAAAGCUCCCAGUAAGUGCAGUGAUUGUAAGCAUAGUAGGAGUUUAGUGAAGAAAGCUAUCACCCUGACCAGUGGUAUGAAGUGACUAGGGAGAAAGGACUAGUGGAGUGAGACUUGCAGGCUGGACAGAGCAUUUUUUUUUUUUUUAAUUUUUUAAUUGUGCUUUAAGUGAAAAUUUACAAUUCAAAUCAGUUUCUCAUACAAAAACUUAUAAACACAUUGUUAUGUGACCCUAGUUGCCCCCGCUACAAUGUGACAGCACACUCCUCCUCUCCACCCUGUAUUAUUUCCUGUGUCCAUUCAACCAGCUCCUGUCCCCUUCUGCCUUCUCAUCUUGCCUCCAGACAGGAGCUGCCCACUUAGUCUCAUGUGUCCACUGGAGCUAAGAAGCACACUCCUCACCAGUAUCGUUUUAUGUCUUACAGUCCAGUGUAAUCUUUAUCUGGAGAGUUGGCUUCUGGAAUGAUUUUAGUUUUGGGCUAACAGAGAGUCUGGGGGUCAUACGCAGAGCAGUUCUUAAACCAUAGUGGCAGAUGUUCUGAUGGAAGGACAUUGAGACCAUCCCCCAGAAGAACAGGAACUCUAAAUCCAGGGUGACCCACAGGAAGUAACCACGUAGUGAAGAUAAAAGCAGGGAUACAGGUAUAGGGAGAGGAACUCAGAUAAUUUGUUUUGAGUAGUUCACUUGCUGCAAUGAGUCUUUUCAUCUAAUUGACCCUGUCGAGCACAUAUGGACUCUUACCAAAGCUAGCCUGGGAGAGUUGAAAUUGUCUGGAGAGUUUCAUAGAGAAAGUACAGCAUGAACUUGACCUUGCAGGGUGAGCAGAAUGGGAGUAGGAAGAUGCAAACCAUGUGGGUUAGCUUCACUAGAGUGUAGGAAUUAUGUGGGUGGCAGGUUUGGGCUACAAGAUAGAAGGUCUUGAAGGCUAGCCUCAACUUUAGGCCUUGCCCUUUGGCCAUGGGGACCCACAGAUGGACCCACGGAGCAGCAACUGGAUGAGUUGGAACUCUCAGAAGAUGACAUUGACAGAGAUGCCUGGAAAGGACUGAAGGGGAGAACCGUACCACCAGGGAGUGAUUAGGAUACUUCAUUAUAGGCAGUGGGAAAGAAAAGGAAAAGACAAAAAAAAUUAACACUUUAGAGGAGUUAAGCCAAAAAAACCAAACCCAGUGCCGUCGAUUCCGAUUCAUAGACACCCUAUAGGACAGGGUAGAACUGCCCCAUAGAGUUUCAAAGGAGCACCUGUUGGAUUUGAACUGCUGGCCCUUUGGUUAGCAGCCAUAGCACUUAACCACUACACCACCAGGGUUUCCUUAGAGGAGUUAGAGGAGUUAGAGACUGACAAAUCAUUUGGUCAGGGAGUGGGAGGAGUCAGUGACGACGCCAAGUUUUCAGGCUGACGCCAGUGAGAUGCAAAUAUACUUGUAUUUCUUUACAUAGCUGAAUGUGCAGAUGAUCUUUCAGAAGUGCUCAUCUUAUUUGGCACUUAGUUCCUGGGAAGAACAGGAGGAAGAACUCUCUCAUGCUGGAAAUCAAGUUUGAUCUCACUCUGAGGCUAUUAUUAUUACUCGAGAAAACAAUUAAGAUCCCUGGGGUGGGGAAUCAAACUAAAAGAUAAUGAGCUCAUCUCUUGUUGUUUGUGGACUCUUGUCUCCUCCACCGCCCAGUGUGUUAGGCAGCCUCUGAAAUGGCCCCCAGAGAUCCCCACCUUUGGUGUUGGUAUUCACGCCCUUGAGUAAUCCCUUCUCCUUGAGUGUGGGCUGGACCUGGUGACUUGCUUCUCAUGAAUAGAAUAUGACAAAUGUGAUGAGAUGUCACUCCCAUGACUUCUGUCUUGCUCACUCUUUCACUCGCUUGCUCUGAAGGAAGCCAGCCGCCAUGUUAUGAACUGUCCUGUAGAGAAGUUCAUAUGCAAGGACUUGAGGUCUCCAGCCAACAGUCAGUGAGGACCCGAGGCAUUUCAACAGCCACAUGGGUGAGCUUCAAAGCAAAUCCUCCCCUAUUCAAAUCUUGAGAUGAUGGCAGUCCUGGAUGUCACCUUGAUUGCAGCCUGUGAGAGACCCUGAGCCAGGGGAGCCAGCUAAGCCAUGCCCUGAAUCCUGACCCACAAAAACUGACAUAAUAAAUAUAUGUCAUAUUAGGCUGUUAAAUUUGGGGGAAUUUGUUACACAGCUGUAGAUAUCUAAUAUACUCAAACUCUCUGAGUGGUGUCUAAGAGUACAUGCCCUGAAGCCAGACUGCAGGUGUUCAAAUCCUGGCUCUGACACUUACAAGCUAUACAACCUUACACAAUUAUUUAAUUCUAUGUGCCUUAGUCCCUUCAUCUGUAAGAUGGGAAUAACACCUAUCUCAUAGGGUGAUUGUGAGAAUAAAAUGAGAGAGUAUCUGUACAUUGCUUAGAAUAGCAGUGUUAGAACUCAACAAGUAUUAGCUACCAUCUUUAUUCCUGUGUCCCUGGGUGGCACAAAUUGUUUGCGAUUGACCACUGUCUUAGUUUCUUCGUGCUGCUGUAACAAAAAUACCAAAAGUGGGGGACCUUAACAAACAGAGAUUUAUUUUCUCACAGUUAAAAAACCAAAAACCAAACCCACUGCUGUCGAGUCGAUUCCGACUCAUAGUGACCCUAAGGGACAGAGUAGAACUACCCCAUAGAGUCUCCAAGCAGCGCCUGGUAAAUUCGAACUGCUGACAUUUUGGUUAGCAGCUGUAGCUCUUAACCACUAUACCACCUGGGUUUCCAAACAGCUUUUUCAAAAACCUACAGCUAGAAACUUCCCAUUCAUUUAUUCAACACUGAGCAUCCACUGUAUAAUGGGAACCCUACUAGGCAUGGGGAAUUGAACAAACUAGAUGGGGUGCCUGUCCUCAUGGCUGUUACCAUGUAGAGAGGUGGUUCUCAACUGCGAUGGCACAGCCUUCUAAGCUAGUGUGGAAAUGUCUGAGGAUUGCUACUGGCAUUUAGUUGUCAGGGGCCACAAACACUCCUGCAGUUCAUGGGCAGCACCUCGUAGUAAAGAAUUACCUGCUCAAAAUGCCAAUCAACAAGCCCGUAGGAAAUGACUAGUCUAGUGGGUGAUUUAAACGUUAAUCAAAUAACCACACAAAUAAGUGAAUAAUUAUGAACUGUAUUAACUGCUAUGAAGAAAAUGGCACAGGAAGCUCAGGGGGGAAUAAUGCAGGAUCUGUCUGGGAUGGGGGCGAGUCGUAGAGGAAGAAGAAAGUCUUCCUUGGAAGCAAAGAUUGGGCUGAAAUUUGAAGCAUGGGCAGUGUGCGCUGGGUUGAAGGGGUGUGUGCGUGUUGAGGGGGGGUGUGUGCAAUGGUGAGGGUGGUAGUGCUGGUGGUGGAAAUAAGAUAAAGAUUGUUCCAGAGAGAGAAAAUAAGAUUCCCCAAAACCCUGGGAAGGAGGCAUAUAAUGGUAUAUGAGGAUGGAGAAAAGGCCAGUAUAUUUGAGGGGGAGGGGGGUGAGAAAAGGUGGGAAGGUGGAUAAGAGGAAUUGGAAGAAAUAGGCUGGAGCCAGUCAUGCAGACCCUAAGGAGCUGUGUUAGUGUUUCUGGUCUAUUCCAGGGAUUGUCAGCAUGAAGGGACCUAACUGCUUAUGUGCUUUGGAAAUGUCACCCUGGGUGAAGAGUGGAGAACAGAUUAGAGUGGGUAGGAGAAGAGGUGGAGAGACCAGUUAGGUGGCUAUAGCCCUGGUAUGGAAAGACUAAGGGAAUAGGGAUAAAGAUAGAAGAAAAUGAAGUCAAUGGAUUUGAUAGAUGUUAGAAGGAAAACGGGACUAGGAGAUGGAUUAGAUCUUUGGGGUAAGAGAGGAGAAGGUGUCAAAGGUAACUAGAAUGGUGGUGGCCAUUCAGUAAAUUAGAGAAUCUGGAAGCAGAGUAGGUCUGGGAGAGGAGCAUCUUGAGUUUGAUUUUGAAAAAGUCGACUCUGAGGUGCUUCUGAGAUAUCCAAAGGGGCUUGAGGACUGCAGGUUUUUGGUUGUGGAGAUAUGGAGGGCAGAGGAAAGGUUUGGACUGGAAGUAAAAUUCGGAAGAUACUGGUAUAGGUAAGGAAACCCUGGCAGCAUAGUGGUUAAGAGCUAUGGCUGCUAACCAAAAGGUCGGCAGUUCGAAUCCACCAGGCACUCCUUGGAAACCCUAGGGGGCAGUUCUACUCUGUCCUUUAGGGUCACUAUGAGUCAGAAUUGACUUGACAGCAACGAGUGUUUUUGGUUUUCAGCGUAGGUGAUGGAGUCCCUGGGUGAUGCAAAUGGUUAAUGCGCUUGGCUGCUAACUGAAAGGCUGAAGGUUCGAGUCCACCCAGAGGCUCCUUAGAAGAAAAGCCUGUGACCUACUUCUGAAAAAUCAGCCACUGAAAACCCUGUGGAUCGCAGUUCUACUCUGACAUACAUGGGGUUGCUAUGAGUCGGAGUCCACUUGACCGCAACUGAUAUGUGUGUUAUAUAGCAAUGGAGGCCACUGGAGUGGAUGAGCUUGCUAGAAAGAGAAAGCUCGACAAGAGAAACCAUGACCUGGUCAAGACUUGAGGAACUUUGAUUUUAAUGGCCAAGCAGAGGAGGAUGGUUCAGUCAGCCAGAGGAAGAGAAGCAGAGAGGAGAGGAGAAGCGGGAGAUGGUGUUGCCUCAGAAGCUGAGGGACACAUAUAUUUCAAAAGUUGGAAGUGGUCAGAAGGGUCAAAUGGAGCUGGAAAGUUGGAUAAGGAAACUGAGGCUCAGGAAGAUGGACUGCCUUGCCCCUGGACACACCAAUCCUGAGAGGACCAUCUGCUACCGGCCCCAGCCCAGAUGAUACAGUUAGAGCCUGCCCACAGCAUCCUCUCCCUCCUUCAGACAGUUCCAGGAACAAGGGAUUCCCAGGCAUUUACGGACCUCAUUUGGGACUCUUUUCAAGUCCAGUAUCAACCUACGGAAGCCAAAAUAACCCCUCACCUGGUCAACUCAAGUGAGGUAACAGGGAUCUAGAUUAGCAGAGGAAAUCCUCAGGCACACAGAGGAUCUCUGAAGAACUGCUGACAGAAAACCUCCCUAAUAUCAUGAAAGAUGAAAACCUAACCAUCCAAGAAGCUCAGUGAACCCCACUGGGGACAGACCCCAAAAGAAAAUCACCAAGGCAUAUCAUAAUCACACUCGCUAAAGCAAAAGACAAAGAGGGAAGCACACUCACUAAAACCAAAGACAAAGAAGAGCAGCAUGAGAGAAACAAAAAGUCACAUACAGAGGAGAAACACUAAGGCUAAGCUCUGAUUACGCAGCAGAAACCAUGCAGGAGGUAACAUGGACCUAGAUUGGCAGAGGAAAUCCUCAGGCACAGAACCAGCACCCCAAAGAUACUCAACAAAGAUGCUUAGCAAAGGUACUCAACAAUUCAGUUGUUGAUCAAGUGGAAGGAUGGUCUCUGAUAAACUUGUUCUUAAUUGAGGAGCUACCUGUCUACUUCUCCAUGGAGUUGUGCUAGGUGGCUUCUUUCUAAAAUCACACUUAAUUUUUGUUCAGCUUUCUUCAGAUUCCAUUUGGUUGGUUCCAUAUGCAGGCACCUCUGAUCUAUUUACUGUCCUUUUUGAUGGGUUAGGGAGUAGGCUCCAUUCAGGGCAUGCCAGAGGCUUCACUCAGUUCUUCCCAUCUUGUUGCUCUAGCGUCACAUAGCCUGGCUGCUGAUUACACACUCAUUCAAUUAAUAUGUUCAAGUAACUGCUUACUCUGGAGUAAGCACUUGCCAGUUCUGUGGAUAUAAUGGUGAUUUCAUAGCUUACUAGCAGGGAAACAAGAAACUAUUACCCUAGUUGUGGGAAAAAAAAGAGCCCCCAAAAUCUAGGUGCUUGGCAUAAGGAGAGGCUUCUGCCCAAGCUGUAGGCUGGGCUCUGUUUUGUUGUUUACUGCUCAGUCGAGUAACUUUUGUGAAUCCUCAGGAAGUGCUGCCCGAUCUGAAUCGCUCUAUUCCUUCAAUAAAACUCUUUGCUUUAAUUUUAACAGAGACUCCAGCUUGCUCUUGGGUAAUUUCAUGAGCAGU